AUAGAGUUUACACACUUGAUCUAGGGUGAUAUGACUGUGUUUGAGUAUGCCCGAAUGCUUCUAGAGUUGGGUCUGUAUUCCCCUAGAGCAUGAUGGAUGAAGGCAAGAAUACAAGGAAGUUCGAGUGGCUGCUCUGCACUGAGAUUAAACAGCAAUUGUAUAUAUUUGAGCUCAAUACCUACUUAGUUGUUCUGACAAAGACACAGCUAGUGGAAAGGAACCUUUGUAUCUUUUCUCUAGCAGUAGAGAAUCCUAGACUCCCGGUUUCAUACCGCAGACAAGCACCCACUGUACCAGUUCAGCAGAACAAGAGGCCUAGGCCAGUACUUAGACUCCUCCUUAGGCUCUGAUAACAGGACGCAGUAGGACUUGUCAGCACUGUGGCAAGAAUUAUGGGGCCUGACCCUACUAUAUUCUCAAUAAUACCUGUCGCAUAUGUGAGAGUACCCAACAUUACGCGAGAGAGUGCCCGCAGAAUUAGAACCAGGCCAGACCUCCUAUUUAGGGCAAAGCUUACAACCUUACUCAGCAGGAUGUUGAAGUCAACUCGGAUGUGAUACAUGGUAUGUACACUAUUUGUAAUCAUUUUGCACAUGUUUUGAUCGAUACUGGUGCUUCAUAUUCGUUUGUCUCACACACUUUUACACAAAACUUAAAUGUAUCACUGAAAAAACUU
RNAcentral lists this long non-coding RNA (676 nucleotides) under Carica papaya (papaya). RNAcentral's name for it is "long non-coding RNA (CPAP_LNC004824)". Lineage: Eukaryota; Viridiplantae; Streptophyta; Magnoliopsida; Brassicales; Caricaceae. The record is from RNAcentral.